AAUGGUCUCAACUAGUGGUGGGGGAAAAUAUCGAUUCUUAGAUGCAUCUCGAUUCAGGCAAGGACGAUUCUGAAUCGAUUCACAAACGUCCAAAUUCCGAUUAUUUAGAUGUUAAAUAACGUGAAAUAGGCGGAACGAAAAGGCGGAACUCGUGCAGCGCGUUGUCACCCGGCGGACACUUUAAGGGGAGCACAUAACAAAGAAGCAUGGCUGAGCGCGAGAUCCACCCUGCCCCUUCCAGAUUAAAAGCUAAUGUAUGGAAGAAUUUUGGCUUCUACGGAGUUGAGGGUGGACUUGAACUGGACAAGAGCCACACUAUAUGUAAACUGUGUCACUCCAAGAUAAAAUACUUUGGUAACACCACGAACAUGAGGAGCCACAUCACUCGUUUUCACCCGAACGAGGAGGGAAGAUGCCCGGCUGCUGUCGAGGCUACGGCUGCCUCCACCAAACAGAGAACAAUCGAGCAAGCAAUUACAAAGCUUCCCCCCUCAUCGGAAAAGGCGAAACGAAUCACGAAGUCCAUCGCUUCAUUUAUUGCCAAGGAUUUACGUCCGUAUUCAGUAGUGGAGAACCAGGGCUCCCGAGCACUAUUGCACACGGUGGAGCCGAGAUACAACAUUCCAUCCCGACACUACUUCACUGACACGGCCAUCCCGACAGAUAACAGAAUUCUGUUAUUUAUUUUCUAAAAAAUGAAAAAAUGUAUUUAUUUGUUUGAGUGCUAUAUGCACAUAAAUUAAAGAUUAAGUUCAUAUUUUCUUACAUUUCUUAAUAAGGACAUAUUUUCACAUUUCACAUAAUGUGAUUCAGGAUAUGCUAAAAGCCAAGGAUGCUGCUACCUUUUGUUCUUUACAUGAAGUUGUAACUUUCCUGUUUACACAUUUCCACAAGUAUAAUAAAAGAUAGUGGAAAUUAAUUCAUUUAAUUGUUUCUCAUUAUUAAUAUUUUAAAAACACAAAGUGGUGAAUGGUUACACAGUGAGACAAAAAGAAAUGUGUAAUAGCUGGGGGGGGGAUAAUCGUUUCAGAAUCGAAUCGUAGCCCCUGAAUCGUAAUCGUAAUCGAAUCGUGAUGUGCCUGAAGAUUCCCACCCCUAGG
RNAcentral lists this long non-coding RNA (1100 nucleotides) under Xyrichtys novacula (pearly razorfish). The record is from RNAcentral. Lineage: Eukaryota; Metazoa; Chordata; Actinopteri; Labriformes; Labridae.